Dreissena polymorpha is the source of this 1100-nucleotide long non-coding RNA. RefSeq lists it as uncharacterized. Lineage: Eukaryota; Metazoa; Mollusca; Bivalvia; Myida; Dreissenidae. The record is from RefSeq and is a predicted model, not a curated record. The transcript is spliced from 4 exons.
AUUUACAUUGACAUGGUCAUAAUUUUCUUGUUCUUUUUACAUUAAAUGGAGGACCAUCUUGAAACAUAAUUAAAUUGGUAUGGACACAUUAACGUUACACAGGUUGUGUGUAAUGAUUAUCCUAAUAAUCUAAAAUCACGAAGUUCAAAUGCAGCGUGACUGCCAUGCACAGAAAGAAAGGUUUUGAAAUUGUUUACUUUUCAGCAUUGAUAUUCCUUGACAUUGUGAUAGGGUAUAUUCACACUAAUGAAAAUUUGUCCUCCUCCUAAGUUUAGUUGAUCUAUAAUUACCCUGAAAAAUGGAAUUGAUCUUUUAAUGAAGUGUUAAUGAAUAAAAACGUAUUAAUUGUUUUAACAUCAAAGUGCAAGUGCCCAUGGAAAGAUGUGAUCAUACCUUGUAAUCUAAUCUGUAAUCUUAACAAACUGCAUGUUCAUGGGGAGUGACGUCCAUGGGGAGUAACAACUGGUUACCUUUUGAUAGUGUUGGCUUGAAAUAGUCUGAUAUAUUGUAUGAAUUAUAUAUUAAAUAUAACAAAAUAAAUUGACCAUGUCUACUGUACUUAUAUAGACUUCCAAGUACUCUCCCUCACUCCUACCACUAUUUUUGGUAAAAAAUGAAAGAACAUAUUGAGAUGUAUUCAUUUGUUUAAUUUGAAACUUUUGCAGAAUAAAUUCCGUAGGGGGGAACGAGAGGAACGUAGAAGAUUCAAUAAAAAAGUGGUGUGAUUGGAAGAGCCGGACCAUUAUGAAGGAUGCCAAGAGAAGACGCUUUGUGGAAAGCUCUGGGGAGGCAGCUCUUCCAAAAAAAAUGCAAUUAACUGUUUUGGAGGAUAAGCUAUUGUCCUUAGUGCCCAAAACAAAGCUGUUCGGAGUGCAAGGUGGAGGGAUCGAUACCGGUCCACUCAAGAGAUCCAUGCAAGAAAAUGAUAACCUAGACAAAGGAGAGGAAAAUAAACGCCUCAAGCAGAACGGUAUGUCAUUGUUAUCUAUUAAAGUUAUAAGAUUUGUAAAAACAAAUAUCACUUACCUUUAAUUGACUGUUGACUGAGUCUUCAUAAUAAAAUAAUAACAAUUGCCAUUGGUUUCACUAUUUAACAUUAU